UCUCCGUAGGUGAACCUGCGGAGGGAUCAUUACAGAGUUUUUGCCCGCAAGGGUAGAUCUCCCACCCUAUGUUAUUCCUUCUCUGUUGCUUUGGCGGGCCGUCCGGCCUCGGUCAGGCCACCGGCUCCGGCUGGUGCGCGCCCGCCAGAGGACCUCAAACCCUAAAUGUCAGUGUCGUCUGAGUACUAUAUAAUAGUUAAAACUUUCAACAACGGAUCUCUUGGUUCUG
RNAcentral lists this unclassified non-coding RNA (229 nucleotides) under plant metagenome. RNAcentral describes it as "partial contains small subunit ribosomal RNA, internal transcribed spacer 1, and 5.8S ribosomal RNA". The record is from RNAcentral.